CGAGAAGGAGGCUUCGGUCUCUGAGUAGAGCGGCGCACGGGUGAGUAACGCGUGGAUGAUCUACCCUUGAGUUCGGGAUAACGGUGCGAAAGCGCCGCUAAUACCGUAUAACAAUCCAUUUCAUCGUGGGUUCAAAGCAGGCCUCUUCAUGAAAGCUUGCGCUUGGGGAUGAGUCCGCGUCCCAUUAGCUUGUUGGCGGGGUAACGGCCCACCAAGGCAACGAUGGGUAGCUGGUCUGAGAGGAUGAUCAGCCACACUGGAACUGAAACACGGUCCAGACUCCUACGGGAGGCAGCAGUGGGGAAUAUUGCGCAAUGGGGGAAACCCUGACGCAGCGACGUCGUGUGAGGGAAGAAGGCCUUCGGGUCGUAAACCUCUGUCAGAAGGGAAGAACAUCCGGGAGUCGAACAGCCUCCCGGCCUGACGGUACCUUCAGAGGAAGCGCCGGCUAACUCCGUGCCAGCAGCCGCGGUAAUACGGAGGGCGCAAGCGUUAAUCGGAAUCACUGGGCGUAAAGCGUGCGUAGGCUGUUUGAUAAGUCAGACGUGAAAUCCCUCGGCUCAACCGGGGAACUGCGUUUGAUACUGUUGAACUAGAGCCCUGGAGAGGGUGGCGGAAUUCCUGGUGUAGGAGUGAAAUCCGU
This 643-nucleotide ribosomal RNA is filed under the name uncultured bacterium. RNAcentral describes it as "bacterial SSU rRNA". It matches the Rfam family "Bacterial small subunit ribosomal RNA", at positions 67 to 691 of the family's 1533-position model. The record is from RNAcentral.